This 68-nucleotide transfer RNA is filed under the name Tragelaphus angasii (nyala). RNAcentral's name for it is "tRNA-Trp". Lineage: Eukaryota; Metazoa; Chordata; Mammalia; Artiodactyla; Bovidae. The record is from RNAcentral.
AGGAGUUUAGGUUAAAAUAGACCAAGAGCCUUCAAAGCUCUAAGCAAGUAUUACUUACUUAACUCCUG